Camellia sinensis is the source of this 339-nucleotide non-coding RNA. The record is from RefSeq and is a predicted model, not a curated record. NCBI's taxonomy places the organism in Eukaryota, Viridiplantae, Streptophyta, Magnoliopsida, Ericales, Theaceae.
GGGGGGGGGCACAGAAAGAAGAAAGCUUGGAUUGUGGCAGCUUUAUGUGUUAUGUGGUGCAUGGGGAGAGAGAAAUGAAUAGACAUAUUUUUAAAGAGACCGUGUUAAGGAUUCAAAGGCUUAAGAUCCCCUAGAGAUGCUGAGUCUCAACAAAAUCGUCGUCUAAUGUGAGGGCAGUAACUUACUUGUUCUUGUUGCUGGUGUGGUCCCAGUCAUCCCAGCCACCGUGGGCGACCACGUCAUCAAAAUAGGUGAAGGAGAAGACGAUCCGGGAGUAUUGGCCCAUGGCCCGGCCCACGUAGAGUGGGCCCGUACCCGUCACCCUGCAGCGCACGAAAG